This 1062-nucleotide ribosomal RNA is filed under the name Triticum aestivum (bread wheat). RNAcentral's name for it is "partial small subunit ribosomal RNA". The record is from RNAcentral. Lineage: Eukaryota; Viridiplantae; Streptophyta; Magnoliopsida; Poales; Poaceae.
AUGGAGAAGUUACGGUGGAUGCCCGUAGUGCUACGAUCUCUCAGGUCCUACUCGGCGAAGGCCCCUAUCUCCACCAGAGCUCCUCGUCUUCCGACUGGCAAACAGGUGCUCCAAGGUGUCGCAUCCGACCAUCUGAAGUUACGAGAUAGCAUGGAAACCCUAGACAAAGGCUAUCUCUUUUCGCGUAGAGACGCAUGUAAUCUGGGAACGUCACAGAGAGGUGCAAUAUCUCGUCUUACCCAUAUGCCCACGCACCGCAGCACCAAUCAAUGGCCUACACCCAUCCGAAGGCAUCUUCUGACACGGAGUUAUUCUUCAAAGGGAACUGAUCCAAAAGAUGACUUUGACUGGCAUACACAUAUUGCAACGGGAAACUUCUCUUAUAGAGGGCAACUCACACUCGGCAUUAAGAUGAUCAGUCUGCAAGAGCACUUGGUCAAGAACCCGAUGCUCGAAACAAGACCAGUUUACGGUGAUCGCAAUGGCAAGUACAAAACUUUUGUCAAGGAUAUCGCUAAGUCUCACUGCUGGAAUAUGAUUAAUUCUCUCUCAGAGUUUCACAGGAUCGGACUAUGUAUUGUGGACCUAGAUCACUCCAAAAUUGUAAUCUGUGAUGGUGUUGCAAGAUUUUCACCAGACAUCCUAUUCGUUGCUGCAACAGAGCAGCUCAUCAAGGAUAAUUUCCUGAAGCUGGCGAAGAUCAUCAAGCAUGUACUGUUCCAGGGGGAGGAAUUGCCUUAUGACAUGCAUCGUCUUCUGAAGAUCAUGCAGACCGAGGCUCUAGAGGCGGUAAAUCUCAUGAAUUGUCAUGUGGCUCUUGUUCCCCAAAUUCUCAAGACAUCAUUCUACUUCAGAAUGUAUGAAGUGAUCACUUUUCUCCGGCUUGGCGACUACCCAUCUUACUCCUCUCUUAUGGACAUGCUUCCGUACCGAUAUGUUUGGUAUAAGAUAAUGCAAGGUAAAACACUUUUGGCAUCCUCAAUGGAAAGGCACCAGCGUCCAAUCAGCCGUUUGGCAAGGAAAAAUCCUGGAAAGUUAGUGCAUAGCUACAGGUGUCUGUGA